GUUUCUGUAACAAAUCCAAAUCUUUGCUUGAUCUGUACUUAAUUGUUCUGUGUUAAAAUUUGUUACUGUUUGUUUUCAUUCAGAACAGAAUAAUAGGCGUUGGUUACUUUUGUAAGGGAAACACUGUAAAGAACAGAACAAGUUGUCUAUAAUUCUCUAAUGAACCAGCAUUGUCUCUGUUUUGUUAAGGUCCUUUUGAGCUUGUCUUUUUAAUAUCAUUAUUACAUUCCCGGUAAAACUUUUUUUGGUGUUUUUUGCCUUGGCAUGGUAUUACUAUAUUCACAUUCUUUUUAGUUGAGGUAGUGUAAAGGUUUUUAAUAUCAUUAUUACAUUCCUGGUAAAACAUUUUUUGGUGUUUUUUGCCUUGGCAUGGUAUUACUAUAUUCACAUUCUUUUUAGUUGAGGUAGUGUAAAGGUUUUCCUAAACAUUAGUACAUGAACAAAGUUGUUGUUCAAUAAAAUUGUCCUUUUUGGCACAUUCUAACAUUUAACAAGUUAAACUGCUAUUAUUACCAAAUAUGGUAAGUGUAAUAAGACGAUAACCAACAUCUUUGAGCAUUAAUUACAAAAUUUAUGAGCUGGAAAAAAAGUUAUUUCUGGAAAAAUGUAAUGCUUUAAACUGCCAAGUACUUACAGUGAUGAAAUUGUAAAUUGCCAAUGAGAGCCAAAGUCUUUAAUGGAGGUUCUUUGCAUCUGUUACUGAAAUGUUUAAUUAUCCCCCGCCGAAAGGCUGAGGGGGAUAUAGAAAUAGUCUCCGUCCGUCCUUCCGUCCGACAUUUUUGUCCGGAGCAUAUCUCAAAAAGUAUUUGAGGUAUCAACUUGAAACUUCAUAGGUGGAUAGACCUCAUUGAGGAGGAGUGCAGUGCACAAGAAUGAUAACUCUACCCUGCAUAAUUUUUGAGUUAUUGCCCUUUGUUAUUUUUCAAAAUUAAUUUUUGUCCAGAGCAUAACUCAAAAAGCCUUUGAGAUAUCAACAUGAAACUUCAUAGGUGCAUAGAUCUCACUCAGGAGGUGUGCAGUGCACAAGAAUGAUAACUCUACCUUUCAUAAUUUUUGAGUUAUUGCCCUUUGUUAUUUUUCAUACUUAAUUUUUCACCUGAGUGGAGCAUAACUCAAAAGUGUUUGAGAUGUCAACAUGAAAUGUCAUAGGUGGAUAGAUCUUAUUGAGGAGGAAUGCUGUGCGCAAGAAUGAUAACUCUUCCCUAUAUAAUUUUUGAGUUAUUGCCCUUUGUUCUUUUUCAUACUAUUUUGUCAGGAGCUUAUCUCAAAAAGUAUUUGAGGUAUCAACUUGAAACUUCAUAGGUGGAUAGAUUUUACUGAGGAGGGUGCAGCACACAAGAAUGAUAACCUACCCUGCAUUAUUUUUCAGUUAUUGCCCUUUGUUAUUUUCAGCCAUCAGUAUUCACAUAGGUUUCAAAUCUGUUAUCACUUCAGCCAUCAGUUUUCAUUACCAAAAGACCUCUUAAAAUUGAAUUAUUCUGCUCUACUACAUAUACAUUCUUCCAAUGAGCAAACACAUUCGGCGGGGGAUGGCCAUGUUGACAUGGCUCUUGUUUAUAAUAUUCUGAGCAAUAAAUUGUAAAGGUUGUUUCAGUUUUCUAAUGAUUAUUUUUUCAAAUGUCAGCUCAGUUGUGUUGGGUUUAUUUUUAUUGCAUUCUAUAUGGUUAAGGUAGUGUAAAGGUUUUCAAAAACAUGGACCAGAAUUGAGGUCAACGGGUUUUUUUGUGUAAAAUGUUGUAUUUAAAGCACUUUAACAUCAAUGAUUAAAUAAAUCUUAUCAUAUAUAAUAGUAACUAAUAAUUCUAUAUAAGCAUUUAAACACCCUAGCAGUAAAAAUGUAAUGUUACGUAAGAUAAUAAUAAUGGCAUACAAAAUUGAGAACAGCAAUUUAUCAGAUUAGAAAAAAAUAAAAAAAUUGUGGAAAUGAUGCCUUGAUUAUCAGGUUGUUGCAAGCUAAUGUUCUGUUAUGACUAACCCAGGGAGUCUGGGUGCCCUUUAGCUGACAUUUUCAGCAUUGCAACAAAUGCCAGGCAAAUAUAUGUGUGAUAUCGUCUUCUGUUACAUAUCAUAUAUGAGAUUUAGAAUGUAUACUUUCACUAUCAUAAUGUUAAAGAGAUUAAAGAAAGCAUUAUGAUUAAUAUGACCUUAUUGAUCAACUAUUUUUUAAGCUCGCCCAUACAAAAUGUAUUGAGAGCUGUCCUACUCACUGUGGCCUCCAUGUCUUGUCCAGAUUUCAGAUAAAAGUUUUGGUGCAGUAAAGUAUUUUAA
Ruditapes philippinarum (Manila clam) is the source of this 2268-nucleotide long non-coding RNA. RefSeq lists it as uncharacterized. NCBI's taxonomy places the organism in Eukaryota, Metazoa, Mollusca, Bivalvia, Venerida, Veneridae. The record is from RefSeq and is a predicted model, not a curated record. The transcript has 2 exons.